This 264-nucleotide ribosomal RNA is filed under the name uncultured Acinetobacter sp. RNAcentral's name for it is "partial 16S ribosomal RNA". It matches the Rfam family "Bacterial small subunit ribosomal RNA", at positions 1117 to 1382 of the family's 1533-position model. Lineage: Bacteria; Pseudomonadati; Pseudomonadota; Gammaproteobacteria; Moraxellales; Moraxellaceae. The record is from RNAcentral.
GCCAGCGGUUAAGCCGGGAACUUUAAGGAUACUGCCAGUGACAAACUGGAGGAAGCGGGGACGACGUCAAGUCAUCAUGGCCCUUACGACCAGGGCUACACACGUGCUACAAUGGUCGGUACAAAGGGUUGCUACCUAGCGAUAGGAUGCUAAUCUCAAAAAGCCGAUCGUAGUCCGGAUUGGAGUCUGCAACUCGACUCCAUGAAGUCGGAAUCGCUAGUAAUCGCGGAUCAGAAUGCCGCGGUGAAUACGUUCCCGGGCCUU